This 255-nucleotide ribosomal RNA is filed under the name uncultured bacterium. RNAcentral describes it as "partial 16S ribosomal RNA". It matches the Rfam family "Bacterial small subunit ribosomal RNA", at positions 30 to 286 of the family's 1533-position model. The record is from RNAcentral.
UUGAACGCUGGCGGCAGGCCUAACACAUGCAAGUCGAGCGGAUGAAGGGAGCUUGCUCCUGGAUUCAGCGGCGGACGGGUGAGUAAUGCCUAGGAAUCUGCCUGGUAGUGGGGGAUAACGUCCGGAAACGGGCGCUAAUACCGCAUACGUCCUGAGGGAGAAAGUGGGGGAUCUUCGGACCUCACGCUAUCAGAUGGGCCUAGGUCGGAUUAGCUAGUUGGUGGGGUAAAGGCCCACCAAGGCGACGAUCCGUAA